GUGCUCACUUUGGCAGCACAUAUACUAAAAUUGGAAUAAUAUAGAGAUUAGUGUGGUCCCUGUGCAAGGAUGACAUGCAAAUCUGUGAAGCAUCCUGUUUUUU
RNAcentral lists this small nuclear RNA (103 nucleotides) under Cervus elaphus hippelaphus. Lineage: Eukaryota; Metazoa; Chordata; Mammalia; Artiodactyla; Cervidae. The record is from RNAcentral.